ACGUAGGAGACGAGCGUUAUCCGGAUUAACUGGGCGUAAAGAGCGUGUAGGAGGCAAUACAACUUGGAUGUAAAAGCUCUCGGCUAAACUGAGAGAGGAAGUUCAAGAUUGUAGAGCUAGAGGAAGACAGAGGUAGAUGGAACUCCGGGAGUAGUGGUGAAAUGCGUAGAAUUCCGUAAGAACGCCAGAGUCUAAAGCGAUCUACUGUGCCUUAACAUACACUGAGACGCGAAAGCCAGGGUACCAAACGG
RNAcentral lists this ribosomal RNA (251 nucleotides) under uncultured prokaryote. RNAcentral describes it as "partial 16S rRNA". It matches the Rfam family "Bacterial small subunit ribosomal RNA", at positions 525 to 775 of the family's 1533-position model. The record is from RNAcentral.